ACAAGUCUGUUGUCCGUUCUUGUGCUGUCGUGGGGGUUGUACCUUCUGCGUCAUGUGCAAGGACGACAUUUGUUCCAUGCUGCACGUUUACUCUGCACAUGACAUUCUCUACGAAUCAUCUGAUUAUUGACAAUGCUCAUAAACAAA
RNAcentral lists this unclassified non-coding RNA (147 nucleotides) under uncultured Rozellomycota. Its description in RNAcentral is "uncultured Cryptomycota sequence contains ITS1". The record is from RNAcentral. Lineage: Eukaryota; Fungi; Rozellomycota.